GACGAACGCUGGCGGCGUGCCUAAUACAUGCAAGUCGUACGCUUCUUUUUCCACCGGAGCUUGCUCCACCGGAAAAAGAGGAGUGGCGAACGGGUGAGUAACACGUGGGUAACCUGCCCAUCAGAAGGGGAUAACACUUGGAAACAGGUGCUAAUACCGUAUAACAAUCGAAACCGCAUGGUUUUGAUUUGAAAGGCGCUUUCGGGUGUCGCUGAUGGAUGGACCCGCGGUGCAUUAGCUAGUUGGUGAGGUAACGGCUCACCAAGGCCACGAUGCAUAGCCGACCUGAGAGGGUGAUCGGCCACAUUGGGACUGAGACACGGCCCAAACUCCUACGGGAGGCAGCAGUAGGGAAUCUUCGGCAAUGGACGAAAGUCUGACCGAGCAACGCCGCGUGAGUGAAGAAGGUUUUCGGAUCGUAAAACUCUGUUGUUAGAGAAGAAUAAGGAUGAGAGUAACUGUUCAUCCCUUGACGGUAUCUAACCAGAAAGCCACGGCUAACUACGUGCCAGCAGCCGCGGUAAUACGUAGGUGGCAAGCGUUGUCCGGAUUUAUUGGGCGUAAAGCGAGCGCAGGCGGUUUCUUAAGUCUGAUGUGAAAGCCCCCGGCCCAACCGGGGAGGGUCAUUGGAAACUGGGAGACUUGAGUGCAGAAGAGGAGAGUGGAAUUCCAUGUGUAGCGGUGAAAUGCGUAGAUAUAUGGAGGAACACCAGUGGCGAAGGCGGCUCUCUGGUCUGUAACUGACGCUGAGGCUCGAAAGCGUGGGGAGCAAACAGGAUUAGAUACCCUGGUAGUCCACACCGUAAAC
Molecule: ribosomal RNA, 808 nt
Filed under: uncultured bacterium
Lineage: Bacteria
Description: bacterial SSU rRNA
Rfam family: Bacterial small subunit ribosomal RNA
Source: RNAcentral